AAAGCUUUCGGGCCCAUACCCCGAACAUGUUGGUUAAAUCCCCUCCUUUACUA
This 53-nucleotide transfer RNA is filed under the name Myobatrachus gouldii (turtle frog). RNAcentral's name for it is "partial tRNA-Met". Lineage: Eukaryota; Metazoa; Chordata; Amphibia; Anura; Myobatrachidae. The record is from RNAcentral.